AGUGAACGCUGGCGGUAGGCCUAACACAUGCAAGUCGAACGGCAGCACAGUAAGAGCUUGCUCUUACGGGUGGCGAGUGGCGGACGGGUGAGGAAUACAUCGGAAUCUACUUUUUCGUGGGGGAUAACGUAGGGAAACUUACGCUAAUACCGCAUACGACCUACGGGUGAAAGCAGGGGAUCUUCGGACCUUGCGCGAUUGAAUGAGCCGAUGUCGGAUUAGCUAGUUGGCGGGGUAAAGGCCCACCAAGGCGACGAUCCGUAGCUGGUCUGAGAGGAUGAUCAGCCACACUGGAACUGAAACACGGUCCAGACUCCUACGGGAGGCAGCAGUGGGGAAUAUUGGACAAUGGGCGCAAGCCUGAUCCAGCCAUACCGCGUGGGUGAAGAAGGCCUUCGGGUUGUAAAGCCCUUUUGUUGGGAAAGAAAAGCAGCAGGUUAAUACCCGGCUGUUCUGACGGUACCCAAAGAAUAAGCACCGGCUAACUUCGUG
RNAcentral lists this ribosomal RNA (492 nucleotides) under uncultured bacterium. RNAcentral describes it as "partial 16S ribosomal RNA". It matches the Rfam family "Bacterial small subunit ribosomal RNA", at positions 29 to 507 of the family's 1533-position model. The record is from RNAcentral.